UCCGAAUGAUAAAUAUUUUUUCUUCGAGCAGCAAACUUAUCUAACAAUAGCCAUUAUCCCCAUCAUAUAACUACCAUUAUAUUGAGGUAAUAUACAGGUUUUAACUUAAUAUAUUUCAUGAUCACUAAGCCAUGGGUCAAAUUGACAUGUUAGGGUCAUAAUCGGGCUAUUUGAGAUUGGCUAGGUGAUCGACUCUUUGUUUAAAAGAUGAGUUUUAUUUAAACAAUUGAGAUCUAAUUGAUUUGA
RNAcentral lists this long non-coding RNA (246 nucleotides) under Elaeis guineensis (African oil palm). Its description in RNAcentral is "long non-coding RNA (EGUI_LNC028502)". The record is from RNAcentral. Lineage: Eukaryota; Viridiplantae; Streptophyta; Magnoliopsida; Arecales; Arecaceae.